RNAcentral lists this ribosomal RNA (542 nucleotides) under uncultured archaeon. Its description in RNAcentral is "bacterial SSU rRNA". It matches the Rfam family "Archaeal small subunit ribosomal RNA", at positions 457 to 997 of the family's 1478-position model. The record is from RNAcentral.
GGCAGCAGCCGCGGUAACACCGGCGGCCCGAGUGGUGAUCGUGAUUAUUGGGUCUAAAGGGUCCGUAGCCGGUUUGGUCAGUCCUCCGGGAAAUCUGAUAGCUCAACUAUUAGGCUUUCGGGGGAUACUGCCAGACUUGGAACCGGGAGAGGUAAGAGGUACCACAGGGGUAGGAGUGAAAUCUUGUAAUCCCUGUGGGACCACCUGUGGCGAAGGCGUCUUACCAGAACGGGUUCGACGGUGAGGGACGAAAGCUGGGGGCACGAACCGGAUUAGAUACCCGGGUAGUCCCAGCCGUAAACGAUGCUCGCUAGGUGUCAGGCAUGGCGCGACCGUGUCUGGUGCCGCAGGGAAGCCGUGAAGCGAGCCACCUGGGAAGUACGGCCGCAAGGCUGAAACUUAAAGGAAUUGGCGGGGGAGCACAACAACGGGUGGAGCCCUGCGGUUUAAUUGGACUCAACGCCGGACAACUCACCGGGGGCGACAGCAAUAUGUAGGCCAAGCUGAAGACUUUGCCUGAAUCGCUGAGAAGUGGUGCAUGG